RNAcentral lists this ribosomal RNA (1542 nucleotides) under Salmonella enterica subsp. enterica serovar Heidelberg. RNAcentral describes it as "bacterial SSU rRNA". It matches the Rfam family "Bacterial small subunit ribosomal RNA". RNAcentral also lists the same sequence under 17 other names. The record is from RNAcentral. Lineage: Bacteria; Pseudomonadati; Pseudomonadota; Gammaproteobacteria; Enterobacterales; Enterobacteriaceae.
AAAUUGAAGAGUUUGAUCAUGGCUCAGAUUGAACGCUGGCGGCAGGCCUAACACAUGCAAGUCGAACGGUAACAGGAAGCAGCUUGCUGCUUUGCUGACGAGUGGCGGACGGGUGAGUAAUGUCUGGGAAACUGCCUGAUGGAGGGGGAUAACUACUGGAAACGGUGGCUAAUACCGCAUAACGUCGCAAGACCAAAGAGGGGGACCUUCGGGCCUCUUGCCAUCAGAUGUGCCCAGAUGGGAUUAGCUUGUUGGUGAGGUAACGGCUCACCAAGGCGACGAUCCCUAGCUGGUCUGAGAGGAUGACCAGCCACACUGGAACUGAGACACGGUCCAGACUCCUACGGGAGGCAGCAGUGGGGAAUAUUGCACAAUGGGCGCAAGCCUGAUGCAGCCAUGCCGCGUGUAUGAAGAAGGCCUUCGGGUUGUAAAGUACUUUCAGCGGGGAGGAAGGUGUUGUGGUUAAUAACCACAGCAAUUGACGUUACCCGCAGAAGAAGCACCGGCUAACUCCGUGCCAGCAGCCGCGGUAAUACGGAGGGUGCAAGCGUUAAUCGGAAUUACUGGGCGUAAAGCGCACGCAGGCGGUCUGUCAAGUCGGAUGUGAAAUCCCCGGGCUCAACCUGGGAACUGCAUUCGAAACUGGCAGGCUUGAGUCUUGUAGAGGGGGGUAGAAUUCCAGGUGUAGCGGUGAAAUGCGUAGAGAUCUGGAGGAAUACCGGUGGCGAAGGCGGCCCCCUGGACAAAGACUGACGCUCAGGUGCGAAAGCGUGGGGAGCAAACAGGAUUAGAUACCCUGGUAGUCCACGCCGUAAACGAUGUCUACUUGGAGGUUGUGCCCUUGAGGCGUGGCUUCCGGAGCUAACGCGUUAAGUAGACCGCCUGGGGAGUACGGCCGCAAGGUUAAAACUCAAAUGAAUUGACGGGGGCCCGCACAAGCGGUGGAGCAUGUGGUUUAAUUCGAUGCAACGCGAAGAACCUUACCUGGUCUUGACAUCCACGGAAGUUUUCAGAGAUGAGAAUGUGCCUUCGGGAACCGUGAGACAGGUGCUGCAUGGCUGUCGUCAGCUCGUGUUGUGAAAUGUUGGGUUAAGUCCCGCAACGAGCGCAACCCUUAUCCUUUGUUGCCAGCGAUUAGGUCGGGAACUCAAAGGAGACUGCCAGUGAUAAACUGGAGGAAGGUGGGGAUGACGUCAAGUCAUCAUGGCCCUUACGACCAGGGCUACACACGUGCUACAAUGGCGCAUACAAAGAGAAGCGACCUCGCGAGAGCAAGCGGACCUCAUAAAGUGCGUCGUAGUCCGGAUUGGAGUCUGCAACUCGACUCCAUGAAGUCGGAAUCGCUAGUAAUCGUGGAUCAGAAUGCCACGGUGAAUACGUUCCCGGGCCUUGUACACACCGCCCGUCACACCAUGGGAGUGGGUUGCAAAAGAAGUAGGUAGCUUAACCUUCGGGAGGGCGCUUACCACUUUGUGAUUCAUGACUGGGGUGAAGUCGUAACAAGGUAACCGUAGGGGAACCUGCGGUUGGAUCACCUCCUUA